Molecule: long non-coding RNA, 2029 nt
Organism: Rosa chinensis
Lineage: Eukaryota; Viridiplantae; Streptophyta; Magnoliopsida; Rosales; Rosaceae
Exons: 2
Source: RefSeq, a predicted model, not a curated record
AGAGGUAGAGAGGAGAAUUGGAGACACACCUUUGAUCCUUGCUCUUCCCUUUCAUUAGUUACUCUUUGUUUGAUAAAUUGUAUUGUUUUAAGCAUGUUUUCAAUUUGUAUUAUGCAUUGCAAAUUUCCUUAACUAAGGUUAAGGAGGAAACCACAUUAUGAAAUAAGUUUCAUUUAAAUUAUCUGUCUCUAUUCCCAUAAUUAUGUUUUUCAUGCCUACGACUCUUGCUUCAAAAUGCAUUAAUAAAAUAUUUGUUCCUUUCACCUUUAAUGUCAUGCAUUUUUGGUAGUUUGGAAGUCACUUUUAUUAAUCCAUGCUUGGCUUAGUAAAAUAUUUGACAUGAACUCCUUUGAUCUCUUGUUAUUCAAAUGAGCUUGUUUCACAUUUGAUGCUUAGUACACACUUUGAUCUUUUGUAGUUUCAAUAAGUUUGUGUACAUGUGAUGCUUUGGUGUUCAUAAUCAAGAAGCAAAGAAGAGUCUACUUUAGAUCAUUUACAUGUAUGCGUUAUUGUUAAAUCUUGAGCAAGCAGUAGAUUGAUUUCUAGAUUGCUACUCCUAGUUUGGGAAUUGAUAGAUAAUACUUCAAGAUUUAUUUAGUAAUGUGGUGGAAUCUGAUACCUUAGUUACUUCAUCAUCAAGGUAAUUUUUAUCUAUUUACUUUAUUUUAGUUCAACCACAUCAUAUCCAACUUUUAUUUAACUAGAUUAGCAUUAAGUUAAUUUCAGUUUGAUUAGUUUUUCCUAUUUCACAGUCCCUGUGGGUUCGACCUCGCUCUUGCAUUUCUUUGCUACAAUUGAUUCGUGCGCUUGUGAGUAACAUUUUAAAACACAUUAGCCACCGUAGCCCUAAACAAUACCAUUAGUCCAUGUUUGACCAAGAAAGCGCCACCCUUUGUCAUGGUGGUUGCAGUGAAUCACCAGUAUCCAACCCCAAUGAUUCAACUCACACUCACAGCCACUUGAGAGCCAUUGAUCGCCACCUCAUGCACCAUAAGUUGAUGUCGACUAGUACCAAGGGUGAUCCAUACUAGAUAUAACUAUUGGUCUAAACCAGGGGCAGAUCCAACCAUGGGAUGGGUAGGGCUUAAGCCCUGCGGAGCUUUUUGGGCCCAUAAAAAAAAAAUUUGGUAUAUAGUUUUUUUUUAGGACUAGUUUUCUCCUUUCAAGCCCCACCGCCAAACUCAAUCCGAUCCUUGGAGCACUCCCGACUCGGCUACCUGCAAGAGUGUAAGGCUGGAACCAACAUGUCAGCAACCCGUCUCUAGUCUCCGAGCUCUGCCUCCAGGCUCUAGCCUCCCCACCGGCCACUGCCGAACUCGAGGUUGGAGAGUCUGUCCAGCAACCAGUCUCCGCCUCUGCAGCUCUCCGGUCUCCAAGCUCUGCCUCACUCCCUCUCCAUCUUCUUCUCCUCCUCGGCGACGUGUCCUCGCCUCCUCUAGUCCUCCUCUCCUCUUCUUAUCUACUGAAGUUCUGGCUUCUUAUCUUUUGAAGUUCUGGGCUUCUAGGUUUCUGAAUUCUAAAUUUCUAAUAUGUAAUUUACAGUUCAAUUAAUCGAUUUCCAUUUGAUGAUUUGAUCUUGUGACUUGUUGGUUUUUAACUAAGGUAAUGCCAUAAUGGUAUAGUUGAAUUGUUGAAAUGAGUUCGAUUUCGAAUUUCCAAUUGAUCUUGAUGGUAUAAUUGCAAACAGUCAAAAUGAUAUAAAUAUAUAAUUGAUUUUUAUGAGCUUAUGAGCUUACUAAUUAAGUGAUUAACUGGUUGAAAUGGUCAUUUGAUAGUUCAAUUUCCUUUUGAUCUUGAUGUUGAAUUGUUGAUUACUUGAUUUUAAUCAAGGUAAUGAUACUGAUUGGGUAGUUAGAAAUGGGUUUGAUAAAUUGAUUUCCAUUUAAUGUUGAUUUCUUCUUCAAUUGCAAAUUCAUGAUUGACAGAUUGUAUCAAUAAGAGUGUUGCACUCGGUCAGUGAGGAAAAGGCCUCAGAACUCAUAAGCAAAGGUGUUACACUAAAAUGUCAAAUCAUGAGCCGAAACCGAAG